RNAcentral lists this long non-coding RNA (2639 nucleotides) under Homo sapiens (human). Its description in RNAcentral is "uncharacterized LOC105372703, transcript variant 2 (LOC105372703)". The record is from RNAcentral. Lineage: Eukaryota; Metazoa; Chordata; Mammalia; Primates; Hominidae.
GUUUUUGCUGCGUCACAGGGAGACAGAAGAUGGGCUGCUAUUUCGUCGGCUAAAUGCUAUCAUUUUAAGCACCGUUCCAAAGAAAACAGGGAUCUUGCCAGAGGAAAAUAACAUAUACCAUAAAGGAAAAAGAAAUGUGCAUCAAGGCAAAUAAACAGCUCUCUACUAAGGGCCUAGGAUCUUGCUAGACGAGUCAUUUCUCUGGUUGAAAAGCAGUUGAGAAAGGCAAGACAAGGGGGGCGGGGGCCCAGCAGGGCACCUCUGAGCCCUUCCUGCUGCUCUUCAAAGACAGACGCAUUUUCCUUUCUACGGUCUCCUUGCAAGUCUUCUGUAGGCCCUGCCACCUUCAGGCUGACUGACUGCCUCCUUCAAAUAUCAGCAUUUGCUCAGCAGAGCUUUGUGCUGGUGGACAGAUGGAUGUGCUGGAAGGAGACCCCUGCUGACCCCUGCUGACUCCAUGACAGAGGGAUGGAAAUUCUGCCCCUCCCAGACCUCACCCUAUGCGUUCUGUUUCCUUUAUAAUGAAAGCACAAUUAGAGGAAGGGUACUGGGGAGUCGACACCCUCAUGUCUGUGAGCUGACUGCAGGACGUCUCCUGUCCAGGUGCUGGCACCUCAUCUAACAUUUGAAGGCUCAGAAGAAAAGCCACGUCUGCCUACACAAUCUCACAAUCCGGCUUCAGCAAAGCAUGAGUUAAUUCAACUUCAUACUCGUGAACGUGAAGCGGGGGUUGGAAGGAAUGAAGGCUGCAGGACACCCAUGUACCAAGAAAAAGAAAGACAAAUUGGUUGUUUUAUCUACUUUACAUCAUGAUGGAGUCCUAAAAAGGGCCCCAUGAAGGCAGGCAGCCCAGGGAGGAAUGACUGGACGGUGACAUUGUGCAGGGGGUCUGGAAGUUGCCAGCGCAGGGGUUAGCAGCUGCAGCCUGGCCUGGUCCUGUCUGCCUGGCUGUCAAACCCAGAAGACCGUGGUUUCUGGUGGCCUCUGUGUGACAGCGGAGGAGGUGGGGCGAGGCCUGGAAGUGAAGCAUCUCGUGAGCCACUUAAGUGUUUAUGAAGCUCGCUAAUGUGCUUAAAUGAACGAGAAGCAGGUACUUGCUCCCAGGACCAGAGCCACCAAAGCAAUUUCCUCUGCAGCCCCUCAUACUUCGCACACUGGAAGCUUGCAUUCUUUCCCAGAGGACAGCCGGAUUACAGCACCGCCUCUAAUGCAACCCGAUCUGGUUUCUUUGAGCGCCGCGGUGAACGUGCAAUCUAUCUCAUAAAUGCAUCGCAGUGUUCCACAAAUCACCCACGUUCAUCCCUUGAGACGUCUUUAACUCGGGGCUUAGAGUUGCAAAUGAAUUCUCCUAUGGAUCUAUUAUUCCAUCAAAUAGCGGAGAGAGGGGACUAGCUUGUGCAGAGCCUUCAUAGAGCUGGGCUAAAUUCGAUUAUGCAAAGUCUAACGAGCACCAUUCAGCAAAACCAUGGUGGGUGUGAGCUGCAGGCCAGCCCCUCCACUGGGCCAUUAUCCAGGGGUAAACACCACUCGUGGGUUAGUUCCACGAGUUACUGGCUGAUUUGACCUGUGAUACUCCAAGGUGGAAGUAACCAAAUAAUAUGUAUCAUGAGCCCCAAGAACGAAGCCAGUGGAGAGUGGUACAUGCUAGAGGGUAACGCCUGGCCCUUUGCAGGACAGCACGUCAGCCAUGCGCCAUGGGACGAUGGUGGUGGCUGGGACACAGGAGGCCACGGCAGGAAAUGGGCAGGUGGGUGGGUCUAUGUAAGCUGGCUUUAGACUUCAAUCCACAAGCAUUUGCAGCUCAACUACUCAGCGUCUUAUCUUAUUUAAUCCUUUCAGCAAUAAACACUCUUUUCACAUGUAGUAAGGUUAAGGAGUCUACAUCACACCCUUUAUCAUUAUUAAUAAAGGGACACACCCUCCAGGGAUCCUAGGGAACCUCCUACCCACCCUGUGGUCACUCUAGGGAAAGGAAAGCUCUCAGGGACCGACGGGAGCCUGGGCACAUGCGCCACCACUCUCUCCUUUAUCCCCUCUAGCCCGGCUUGCUGGCUCUCACUUUCUUUUGUGCACUAGAACUCACGUACAAGUUGCACACCCAAACCCUUGCAUGCUGCAUUUCAGAGUCAACUUCAGUGAUUUUUGAGAGUGAUUUUGACAAUCCCAGUCAAAAUUCUAGCAGGUUUUUUUUUUUUACAUGACAAGUGGAUUCUAAAAUUCAUAGGAAAAUGCAAAUGACCUAGAAGAGCCAAAGCAAUUUUGGAAGGAGUAAAGUCGAAUGGCUGACGCUACCAGAUUUCAAGAUUCACUUGAAACGCACAGGAAUCAAGACAGGGUGGUGUCGACAGAAGGAAGGCGUCAGAGCAGGGUGACAGGAGGCAGGGCCACACACAGACGGCUGAUUGAUACCCGACAAAACCGCCGAGGUAAUUUCACAGGGAAAGGAACUCUUUUGAACAAAUGGUGCACCAACAAUUGGAUAACCAUACGGAAAAAAUUUAAAAAACAGAAGAACAUUGACCCUUCACGCACAUCAAACAUAAAUUAACUCAGAAUCCAUCAUAGGCUGGGUGUUGUGGCUCAUGCCUUUAAUCCUAGCACUUUGGGAGGCCAAGGCAGGCGGAUCACCUGAGGUCAGG